This 253-nucleotide ribosomal RNA is filed under the name uncultured bacterium. RNAcentral's name for it is "partial 16S ribosomal RNA". It matches the Rfam family "Bacterial small subunit ribosomal RNA", at positions 524 to 776 of the family's 1533-position model. The record is from RNAcentral.
UACGGAGGGGGUUAGCGUUGUUCGGAAUGACUGGGCGUAAAGCGCGCGUAGGCGGGCUGGAAAGUUGGGGAUGAAAUCCCGGGGCUCAACCCCGGAAUGGCCUUCAAGACUCCCAGCCUAGAGUUCGAGAGAGGUGAGUGGAAUUCCGAGUGUAGAGGUGAAAUUCGUAGAUAUUCGGAGGAACACCAGUGGCGAAGGCGGCUCACUGGCUCGACACUGACGCUGAGGUGCGAAAGCGUGGGGAGCAAACAGG